UGUGGCUCAGUGGUAGAGUACUUGCCUAGCAUGUGUGAGGCACUGGGUUCGAUUCCCAGGACCACAA
This 67-nucleotide transfer RNA is filed under the name Ictidomys tridecemlineatus (thirteen-lined ground squirrel). RNAcentral describes it as "Spermophilus tridecemlineatus (thirteen-lined ground squirrel) tRNA". It matches the Rfam family "tRNA". From Rfam's summary of the family: Transfer RNA (tRNA) molecules are approximately 80 nucleotides in length. Their secondary structure includes four short double-helical elements and three loops (D, anti-codon, and T loops). The record is from Rfam by way of RNAcentral. Lineage: Eukaryota; Metazoa; Chordata; Mammalia; Rodentia; Sciuridae.